This 1427-nucleotide long non-coding RNA is filed under the name Anser brachyrhynchus (Pink-footed goose). Its description in RNAcentral is "lncRNA (ENSABRG00000020905.1)". Lineage: Eukaryota; Metazoa; Chordata; Aves; Anseriformes; Anatidae. The record is from RNAcentral.
CUCGCUGCGGACUCUGGCUGGGACAGAACAUCUGUCUGUUGCUAUGGCUGCAGUACACUUGAAGGGGAUGACUGGAUAAUUAUUGCAAACAUCCAUCCUGCCUGAUGUGCUCCCGGACCCUCGCUGGCCUGAGCGCAGGGGCAGCGGCCGGCAGGUUGGGAGCAGAACUUGGGCCACAGGGAUCCUACCUCGGGAUGGCGUGCUGGCAACACCUUUUCAUUUGCAUAAUUAAUGAGGCCGAGGCUGCAGGGCUCCUGGGAAAUCCGACGCAGAGCAGCAGCGAUGAAAUGGCACGGAGGGCUCCAGCCUUCUCCGCGGCUCAGAGCUCUGCUCGCUGCUAACGCCCCGCUUUGGAGCUACAGGGGAGUUGUUCUCCCAUUUCCAUUAAUUCACCACCCACUUCUAUCUGAACAGAUUGCUCUGGGCCCAAUCCUGCAAAUACCUCCUGCAGGCGUGGGUCCCUGGCCUGCCUGCUGACGGCAGGCUCCGGCCGGAGCAGCAUGUGGGCACACGCGGCUCCUGGCGCAAACCCCAUCACCCCAGUGCCGAACGCACCAGCCCAGAGGCCUCGGGAGCUGCAAGGGUCCUGGUCCUGGUGCGGACCCGCAGCUUCCCUGGGCUUCUCCCACCCAGGCCGGCUGCUGCGCACAGCCGUGGCAGCUCCUGGCUGCACUGCCCCUGCCAGCACCUCGGUGACCUGCUGGGUGGAGCUGUGCCUGCUGCCUGCCCCUGCGGUGCCCGGGCACCAUCCCGUGCGUGCAGCGGCGAUGCUGGCACAGCCACGGGCCGGUACGUCCCCCCGUCCCCUGCGUGCAGGCACCUCAAGCAAAGGAGGUCGUCGCUGUGCAAGGCUGCCCUUCUGCAGGGGCACGGCACGGCACGGCACGGCCCAGCGCCGCCCCCGGGCUCCUUCCUCCACACCCAGGAGUUGGCCAGCGUGUGCCCGCAGCACCCACGGCCUCUUUGUUCCUGAUUUCGCUGCUGUUCUUUCUGCCUGGCGUUCAAACCCUGCCCAGGAUCCAACCCUGGGGGAUGUUCAGAAAUUCAGAAUUUUUGUCCCUGCAUUUUGUCGAUUGUCUCCGUUUCCACCAAUUCCCACCUCUGAAUUAACAGAGCAAAAAACGACAGAGGUUCCCCUUCUGACCCAAUACUGCUGCACUCUUUGCUUAACUGUGCAACUUCAAUGCACCCAUUGUACAUUUUUUUCUGUUUAUCAACAAGUGGAGGGAUAGUGAGUCAGAGGGUGGAGCUGGGGCCAGGAUGAGCACAGGCGGCCGCGGCCACUGGCCGACAAACAGCGUCGCAGCAGGGACCCUCCGCCGGGACUGCGUGAGCUCGGAAGCCUAGGAAGGCUGUGUGGGACACGACUGCCCCUUGCUUUCCCAGUUAUCUAUGACACUGGCAAUAAAUAAUAACAGAAUAUUUCA